This 775-nucleotide ribosomal RNA is filed under the name uncultured Neocallimastigales. RNAcentral describes it as "partial large subunit ribosomal RNA". It matches the Rfam family "Eukaryotic large subunit ribosomal RNA", at positions 23 to 640 of the family's 3401-position model. Lineage: Eukaryota; Fungi; Neocallimastigomycota; Neocallimastigomycetes; Neocallimastigales. The record is from RNAcentral.
AGAGAGAGACAUGCGCGCAUAUCAAUAAGCGGAGGAAAAGAAACUAACUAGGAUUCCCUCAGUAACGGCGAGUGAAGCGGGAAGAGCUCAAAUUUGAAAUCUUAAAGGUUUCCCUUGACGAAUUGUAGUUUAAAGAAGUGUUUUCUGUUGGAGGUUUUGGUAAAAGUUCUUUGGAAUAGGACAUCAUAGAGGGUGAGAAUCCCGUAUUUGACCAUUAUUUCCAGCUUUGUGAUACACUUUCAAAGAGUCGGAUUGUUUGGGAAUGCAGUCCAAAAUGGGUGGUAAAUUUCAUCUAAAGCUAAAUAUUGGCGAGAGACCGAUAGCGAACAAGUACCGUGAGGGAAAGAUGAAAAGAACUUUGAAAAGAGAGUUAAACAGUACGUGAAAUUGUCAAAAGGGAAGCGUUUGACACCAGUGUUGUUUUCUCGAAAAUCAAUUAAAAAAGGCAGGAUUUUGUGUUGUAUUGACUUUAUCAGCUUUCUGCACUCUUUUCUUGUCUUUUUUAAUGCACUUUUCGUUUAACAAGUCAACAUCAGUUUCUUUUGUUGUAAAAGGGUCAUUGGAAGGUGGCUUUCUUUUCGGAGAAAGUGUUUAUAGCCUUUGGCCUCUGCAAUCGGAGAGAUUGAGGUCUGCAGCGUAGAUCCUUCGGGGUUAGAUACAUUUGUGCUAAGUUAUAGCCUUUUCAUAGACAACUUGUUGACUAUGAUCAGUCAUGUAGCUUACUCGCUUAUGCUAUUUUACCUACGCUUAGGAUGUUGAUGUGAUACUGCGAGCA